This is a long non-coding RNA of Oncorhynchus keta (chum salmon), 2040 nucleotides long. RefSeq lists it as uncharacterized. Lineage: Eukaryota; Metazoa; Chordata; Actinopteri; Salmoniformes; Salmonidae. The transcript has 2 exons. The record is from RefSeq and is a predicted model, not a curated record.
UUUGAGGAAAUUGGCACUCCACUGAAAACGCCCAUAGUCAAUGUUACCCAUGCGUGGUCAAUGGGCACGGUGCAUUCUGGGCUGGGCUAUUCUGGACAAGGAAAACUCUCUUUUAAGGAGUGAAUGGGAGACAACUGAGUGCGAGCUCAAAAACCGAAAUUAGCAUGAUUUCGUGAACAAGAAUAUCUUCAGAUAUGUGAGAUAAUUAACUUGUUCACUGUAAUAUCGUAUAGCUUAGAAAUAGACACAUUACGUACUUUCGAGGAAAAUAGGCAGGUUUCUCGACCCAUACCCUGACUUUGAGAAGGGAUUGCGUGAUGGCUGAUGAAGAGCGAGGCCCAACUCUGCGGGAAAUCUGUCUCCCUCCAGCAGGUUAAAGUUGUAGACACAUUGGACCUGGUAUUGUCAGAGAAAGAAACGGACACUGUCACACUUUUGAGAGUCAUCAUUAAUAAGGAAUUGGGCAAAUCCAAGGGUGGAGACCAGUACAACGUUGUUCUGAGGCCCUGGAAAAACUCAACUUCCAAAGCAGGAUGCCUUCAAACAAUGAGUUUUCAGCGGACAAUACUGACUAUACUUCUUGCCAUUGACAAGGGAAUUUUAAUAUCUACAUUUUUGCAUGAUGUUACAUCAAAGUGAAUGGUUCAGUUUUUACAGUAGUCCUCUUGGUACAGUUGAAGUUGGAAGUUUACAUACACCUUAGCCAAAUACAUUUAAACUCCGUUUUUCACAGUUCCUGACAUUUAAUUCAGCUUUAAUUUAUUUUAUCACAUUCCCAGUGGAUCAGAAGUUUACAUACACUCAAUUAGUAUUUAGUAGCAUUGCCUUUAAAAUGGUUUAACUUGGGUCAAACCUAGCCUUCCACAAGCUUCCCACAAUAAGUUGGGUGAAUUUUGGCCCAUUCCUCCUGACCAGAGCUGGUGUAACUGAGUCAGGUUUGUUGGCCUUAAUCACACAUGCUUUUUCAGUUCUGCCCACAAAUUUUCUAUAGGAUUGAGAUCAGGGCUUUGUGAUGGCCACUCCAAUAUCUUGACUUUGUUGUUCUUAAAGCUUGGUUACAAAUGGGUUUUCCAAAUGGACAAUGACCACAAGGAUACUUCCAAAGUUGUGGCAAAAUGGCUUAACUUCCUGACUGCUGUCUUGAGAUGUUGCUUCAAUAUAUCCACAUAAUUUCCUUCUUCAUGAUACCAUCUAUUUUGUGAAGUGCACCAGUCCCUCCUGCAGCAAAGCACCCUCACGACAUGAUGCUGCCACCCCCGUGCUUCACGGUUGGGAUGGUGUUCUUCGGCUUGCAAGCCUCCCUUUUUCCGCCAAACAUAACGAUGGUCAUUAUGGCCAAACAGUUGUAUUUUUGUUUCAUCAGACCAGAGGACAUUUCUCCAGAAAGUAUGAUCUUUGUCCCCAUGCACAGUUGCAAACCGUAGUCUUGACUUUUUUUAUGGUGGUUUUGGAACAGUGGCUUGUUCCUUGCUGAGCGGCCUUUCAGGUUGUCGAUAUAGGACUCGUUUUACUGUGGAUAUAGAUACUUUUGUACCUGUUUCCUCCAGCAUCUUCACAAGGUCCUUUGCUGUUGAUCUGGGAUUGAUUUGUAGUUUUCACACCAAAGUACGUUCAUCUCUAGGAGACAGAAUGUGUCUCCUUCCUGAACGCUAUGACGGCUGCGUGGUCUCACGGUGUUUAUACUUGCGUGCUAUUGUUUGUACAGAUGAAUGUGGUACCUUCAUGCAUUUGGAAAUUGUUCCCAUGGAUGAACCAGACUUUUUAGAUUUUUUUUCCUGAGGUCUUGGCUGAUUUCUUUUGAUUUUCCCAUGAUGAGUUUUAAUGGCUUGAACCUAAGUGUAUGUAAACUUCCGACUUCAACUGACACUUGUCAUCAAUGGCUUAUCUGGUUUCAAAUGGCCGUGACACUAUUUUGAAUGAACUGUCUCCAAGUCAUUCUACAUAAUUAAGCAAUGGAUAGUCAUGGCUUGAAUCAGAUGCAAAGAAAAUGUGUGGGAUAAGUAUUUAAUUAGCUAAAUGCUAAUAAAGUGAAAUGCUAAA